This is a long non-coding RNA of Coturnix japonica (Japanese quail), 1970 nucleotides long. The record is from Ensembl. Lineage: Eukaryota; Metazoa; Chordata; Aves; Galliformes; Phasianidae.
AUUUUAUUGUGGGUCCCAAUGUGGGGGUCCAUCCAUUGGGAUGUUAUGGGGUAUAUGGGGUAUAUGGGGUAUUUAUGGGGUAUCUAUGGGGUCUCUAUGGGGUCUCUAUGGGGCGGCCUUGCCCUGCGCCCUGUGCUGUAGGUCCUGCUGUAGCUUUGCCAGCAGCUCCCGCUGCUGCUCCGACCUCUGCUCCAUGUCCUGCAUCUGCUGCUCACAGCGCUUGCUGUAUGGGAUUAAUUCAUACGGGAUUAAUAGGGGAUUAAUAGGGGAUUUAUAGGGGACUAAUAGGGGAUUAAUAGGGGAUUAAUAGGGGACUAAUAGGGGAUUUAUAGGGGACUAAUAGGGGAUUAAUAGGGGAUUAAUAGGGGACUAAUAGGGGAUUAAUAGGGGAUUAAUAGGGGACUAAUAGGGGAUUAAUAGGGGACUAAUAGGGGAUUAAUAGGGGAUUAAUAGGGGACUAAUAGGGGAUUAAUAGGGGAUUAAUAGGGGAUUAAUAGGGGAUUAAUAUGGGGUUAAUGGGAUUAAUGGGAUUAGGAUUGGGAUUAAUGGGAUUGGGAUUUAUUGGGAUUGGGAUUAGGAUUGGGAUUAUGAUUGGGAUUAAGGUUAGGAUUGGGAUUAAUGGGAUUGGGAUUAAUGGGAUUAAUGGGAAUAGGAUUGGGAUUAAUGGGAUUAAUGGGAUUGGGAUUAAUGGGAUUGGGAUCAAUGGGAUUGGGAUUAAUGGGAUUAAUGGGAUUAAUGGGAUUAGGAUUGGGAUCAAUGGGAUUAGGAUUGGGAUCAAUGGGAUUGGGAUUAUAUUGGGAUCAAUGGGAUUGGGAUUAAUAGGAUUGGGAUCAAUGGGAUUGGGAUUAAUGGGAUUAAUGGGAUUAAUGGGAUUAGGAUUGGGAUUAAUGGGAUUAGGAUUGGGAUUAAUGGGAUUAGGAUUGGGAUUGGGAUUAAUGGGAUUGGGAUCAAUGGGAUUGAGAUUGGGAUUAGGAUUGGGAUCAAUGGGAUUGGGAUUAAUGGGAUUGGGAUCAAUGGGAUUGGGAUUAAUGGGAUUUGUGGGAUUAGGAUUGGGAUUAAUGGGAUUAGGAUUGGGAUUGGGAUUAAUGGGGUUCAUGGGAUUAAUGGGAUUAGGAUUGGGAUUAGGGUUAGGAUUGGGAUUAAUGGGAUUGGGAUUAAUGGGAUUAAUGGGAUUAGGAUUGGGAUUAAUGGGAUUGGGAUUGGGAUCAAUGGGAUUGGGAUUAAUGGGAUUAGGAUUGGGAUCAAUGGGAUUGGGAUUAAUGGGAUUAGGAUUGGGAUUAAUGGGAUUAAUGGGAUUAGGAUUGGGAUUAGGAUUGGGAUUAAGGUUAGGAUUGGGUAAUGGGGGCUCUAGGGGUCCUAUAGGGGGGGUAAUGGUGCGUCUUAUUGGUGGGGUAAUAGGGCGGAUGAUUGCGGGGGUAAUAGGGGAUAUGGGGUUAAGGGGGGCUAUGGGGGGUAAUAGGGGGCUAUGGGGGGGUAUAGGGAUAUGGGGGUAAUAGCGGGCUAUGGGGGUAAUGGGGGGCUGUGGGGGGCAAUGGGGGCUAUGGGGGGUAAUGGGGCUAUGGGGGGAUAUAGGUAAUGGGCGGCAUGGGCACCGGUAAUAGGGGGGAUUAUGGGGGUUAAUGGGGGAUAUGGGGGCGUUUAAUGGGGUGAUAUGGGGGGUAAUAGGUGCGGAUUAUGGGCCGUGUAGGGGGAUAUUGGGGUAAUAGGGAUUGUAGGCGAGGUAAAUGGGGGAUAAUGGCGGGGCUAUGGGCGGUAAUAGGGGGAUAUGGCGGGGUUAAUAGGGGGUAUAUGGGGUUAAGGGGGGGCUAAGGGGAGUAAUGCGGGGCUAUGGGGCGGUAAUGGGGGGCUGUGGCGGUAAUGGGGGGCUAUUGGGGGAUAUAGGGGGUAAUGGAGGGGGUAAAUGAGGGGCUUUGGGAGGUUUAAUAGGGGUCUAUGGGGGAGAAUGGGGCUAUGGGGGAACUAGGGGGGUA